UCUCCGUAGGUGAACCUGCGGAGGGAUCAUUAAAAAGAUGGGUCCUCUGGGACCCUUCAUCCACAAACCUGCGGAAGUGAGAUGUGCUUCGGCGCCUCUGGGCGUCGAGUCUAUGCUGUUUAGCUUUGUGUCUGAAGAAAAACAAAAUUUAAAACUUUCAACAAAGGAUCUCUUGGCUCUCGCAUCGAUGAAGAACGCAGC
Molecule: unclassified non-coding RNA, 201 nt
Filed under: uncultured fungus
Lineage: Eukaryota; Fungi
Description: sequence contains ITS1, 5.8S rRNA gene
Rfam family: 5.8S ribosomal RNA (bases 153-201)
Source: RNAcentral